Molecule: long non-coding RNA, 1432 nt
Organism: Malaclemys terrapin pileata
Lineage: Eukaryota; Metazoa; Chordata; Testudines; Emydidae
Exons: 6
Source: RefSeq, a predicted model, not a curated record
AUGAGAUGACCAUGCUCCCAGAGACAGGAGAGAGGAAUAAGAGUUCAGAGAAGGAAAGGAAACUGCUUUGGGUUAAAAGUAACUAAUAUCACAUCAAGGAACUGAUUAACAUCCCCAGUGAAAUAAAAUUGGAGAAUUCAGCUGUUGAAUAGAAUUACUGUAAUAUACUGACGUCUAAGACUAUCUCCUUCAAUCAAUUUACAGCUGAACAGAUCCUCCGACACUGUAGCAUGCACAUUUCUCUUCCUUAUACCUACUGAGCACGGAGCUGGGAAAAGGAUUCACAUGGUCAGCUUGAGGUGACUACUCAAGAUACAAGGCAGAGAAGAAUCAGACUGAAAGUCUCUCGUCAAACACAACACUGCCUCCAAAAAACCUGAAAAAGACAUACCAGAAAGUCGCAGGACUAAUAGGAAAGGGCUGUCCUAAAAUAUUGACAUCCUUAUCCUGAAGCUGUUCUGCAUGGGAAGAUCUCUACUCCUGCACAGAGUCCCAUUGAAGUCACUGGAGGUUUCCCAGGAGGUUCCAGGGUUUGCAAAGAGCAGUUUACAGAACAGAAUGCUGCCAGAGUCCUACUCCGCAGCACAGAGGUAGCUGUGGAAUCUACUGCAUUGGUAGCCUUAUGCAUCCUGUAUGUAGCUUGAGGAUUUGCCCAAUCAAAGAGUAACAGAAGGAACAUAGUUGUAUUUGAACAUUUUGUACUGAUUGGGCACUGACUUCAUUUUAUUAAAUCACAAUAGUAGCUACUCCCACUACUGUUGCUAUCCCAACAAGCUAAAAAUCCAUGCUGUAGUUUGCAUUUGUCACUGUGGCACUCUGUACCUCAAAGCAAUACCCUGGAACCCCCACAUUCAGCACUGUCAUAUAAUUAUGAUUCGUUUUGUACUAAGUAUGCCUUGUGAGGUAUCAUUUUGAAAGUCUUGAUCUGUUGAACAUUAGUAUCCUGUUGGAUUGUAUGAGCUAUCAUAUGAUAAGUCAUGAAGUUUUGCGAUGUGUAUGUAUCAGAAAUAAUGUUGUGAGGUUGGGAAUACCCACAACUAGCCUUUCAGGUGCAACAGUGGAGUAGCCAGAUGUGCUGAUGUCCACACUCCCAGUGACCAUCCCAGAAGACUUCUCAGAGAAAGCACGUAGACAAUGGAGAACGUUUGACCGAUGGGGGUGGACCCUCAUGUCACAGGCAUACAUCUUUCCAGCAACCUGGAAGAAACUAUAAAAAAAAGGGAAGUGACAUCAUGACUUGGCCUCACUUCCCUCACAACUCAACACCUGGAAACACAUCUGGAGGACAAAGAUUUUUAACUGGGGAGGCUGGCCCUGGGUGGAGGAGAGUUCCGGCCUAUGUAUUCAAGGUCUGUGACUUAUUUGUACUAUCUAUCAGUGUGAGACACUGCUUGAUUCAAAUAUUGUGUAGUUUAUAGAACUCAAAUUGUAU